GACGAACGCUGGCGGCGUGCCUAAUACAUGUAAGUAGAACGCUGAAGGAGGAGCUUGCUUCUCUGGAUGAGUUGCGAACGGGUGAGUAACGCGUAGGUAACCUGCCUGGUAGCGGGGGAUAACUAUUGGAAACGAUAGCUAAUACCGCAUAAUAGUAGAUGUUGCAUGACAUUUGCUUAAAAGGUGCAAUUGCAUCACUACCAGAUGGACCUGCGUUGUAUUAGCUAGUUGGUGGGGUAACGGCUCACCAAGGCGACGAUACAUAGCCGACCUGAGAGGGUGAUCGGCCACACUGGGACUGAGACACGGCCCAGACUCCUACGGGAGGCAGCAGUAGGGAAUCUUCGGCAAUGGACGGAAGUCUGACCGAGCAACGCCGCGUGAGUGAAGAAGGUUUUCGGAUCGUAAAGCUCUGUUGUAAGAGAAGAACGAGUGUGAGAGUGGAAAGUUCACACUGUGACGGUAGCUUACCAGAAAGGGACGGCUAACUACGUG
Molecule: ribosomal RNA, 495 nt
Filed under: uncultured bacterium
Lineage: Bacteria
Description: partial 16S ribosomal RNA
Rfam family: Bacterial small subunit ribosomal RNA
Source: RNAcentral